ACGGGUGAGGAACACGUAGGAACCUGCCCUUAAGCGGGGGACAACCAAGGGAAACUUUGGCUAAUACCGCAUAAACUCGAAAGAGCAAAGCUGCCCGCAAGGGUGGCACUUAAGGAGGGGCCUGCGUCCGAUUAGCUAGUUGGUGAGGUAAAGGCUCACCAAGGCGAUGAUCGGUAACUGGUCUGAGAGGACGGCCAGUCACACUGGGACUGAGACACGGCCCAGACUCCUACGGGAGGCAGCAGUGGGGAAUAUUGGACAAUGGGGGCAACCCUGAUCCAGCGAUGCCGCGUGGGUGAAGAAGGCCUUAGGGUUGUAAAGCCCUUUAGGUUGGGACGAAGUGUAGUAGUUGAUAAUGCUAUUGCAUUGACGGUACCAACAGAAUAAGCACCGGCAAACUCUGUGCCAGCAGCCGCGGUAAUACAGAGGGUGCAAGCGUUAAUCGGAGUUACUGGGCGUAAAGGGCGCGUAGGCGGUGAGAUGAGUGUGAUGUGAAAGCCCCGGGCUUAACCUGGGAAGUGCAUCGCAAACGAUCUGACUGGAGUAUAAGAGAGGGUGGCGGAAUUUCCGGU
This 572-nucleotide ribosomal RNA is filed under the name uncultured bacterium. RNAcentral describes it as "bacterial SSU rRNA". It matches the Rfam family "Bacterial small subunit ribosomal RNA", at positions 102 to 674 of the family's 1533-position model. The record is from RNAcentral.